Molecule: ribosomal RNA, 715 nt
Filed under: Streptomyces cyaneofuscatus
Lineage: Bacteria; Bacillati; Actinomycetota; Actinomycetes; Kitasatosporales; Streptomycetaceae
Description: bacterial SSU rRNA
Rfam family: Bacterial small subunit ribosomal RNA
Source: RNAcentral
GAGUUUNNNUCCUGGCUCAGGACGAACGCUGGCGGCGUGCUUAACACAUGCAAGUCGAACGAUGAAGCCUUUCGGGGUGGAUUAGUGGCGAACGGGUGAGUAACACGUGGGCAAUCUGCCCUUCACUCUGGGACAAGCCCUGGAAACGGGGUCUAAUACCGGAUAACACUCUGUCCCGCAUGGGACGGGGUUAAAAGCUCCGGCGGUGAAGGAUGAGCCCGCGGCCUAUCAGCUUGUUGGUGGGGUAAUGGCCUACCAAGGCGACGACGGGUAGCCGGCCUGAGAGGGCGACCGGCCACACUGGGACUGAGACACGGCCCAGACUCCUACGGGAGGCAGCAGUGGGGAAUAUUGCACAAUGGGCGAAAGCCUGAUGCAGCGACGCCGCGUGAGGGAUGACGGCCUUCGGGUUGUAAACCUCUUUCAGCAGGGAAGAAGCGAAAGUGACGGUACCUGCAGAAGAAGCGCCGGCUAACUACGUGCCAGCAGCCGCGGUAAUACGUAGGGCGCAAGCGUUGUCCGGAAUUAUUGGGCGUAAAGAGCUCGUAGGCGGCUUGUCACGUCGGAUGUGAAAGCCCGGGGCUUAACCCCGGGUCUGCAUUCGAUACGGGCUAGCUAGAGUGUGGUAGGGGAGAUCGGAAUUCCUGGUGUAGCGGUGAAAUGCGCAGAUAUCAGGAGGAACACCGGUGGCGAAGGCGGAUCUCUGGGCCAUUAC